Molecule: ribosomal RNA, 509 nt
Filed under: Erucius erianthoides
Lineage: Eukaryota; Metazoa; Arthropoda; Insecta; Orthoptera; Chorotypidae
Description: partial 16S ribosomal RNA
Rfam family: Bacterial large subunit ribosomal RNA
Source: RNAcentral
GUCUUUUUGAUAAUAAUUUAAGGUCGGGCCUGCUCAAUGACUAAUUUAAAUAGCCGCAGUAUACUGACUGUGCAAAGGUAGCAUAAUCAUUAGUUUUUUAAUUGAAGACUUGUAUGAAUGGUUUAACGAAGGGUAGACUGUCUCAUUUUGAUAAUUAUAAUUUAACUUUUAAGUUAAAAGGCUUAAAUUACAUUCAUGGACGAGAAGACCCUAUAGAUCUUUAAUAUAAUAUACUAUAUAAUUUAAUGUUUAAUAUUUUUGUAUAUUAUUUAUUAUUUUCGUUGGGGUGAUGAAUAAAAUCAAUAAACUUUAUUAAUUAAUAUCACAUAUAAGUGUUAUAACAAUUGAUCCAUAAAUUAUGAUUAUAAGAUUAAGUUACCUUAGGGAUAACAGCGUUAUUGUUCUUUAGAGUUCUUAUUGAAAGAAUGGAUUGCGACCUCGAUGUUGGAUUAAGAUAAAAGUAUGGUGCAGUAGCUUAAUGUUUAGGUCUUGUCGACCUUUAAAUUCUU